RNAcentral lists this ribosomal RNA (485 nucleotides) under uncultured soil bacterium. RNAcentral's name for it is "bacterial SSU rRNA". It matches the Rfam family "Bacterial small subunit ribosomal RNA", at positions 26 to 506 of the family's 1533-position model. The record is from RNAcentral.
AGAUUGAACGCUGGCGGCAGGCCUAACACAUGCAAGUCGAGCGGCAGCACGGGUACUUGUACCUGGUGGCGAGCGGCGGACGGGUGAGUAAUGCCUAGGAAUCUGCCUGGUAGUGGGGGGAUAACGCUCGGAAACGGACGCUAAUACCGCAUACGUCCUACGGGAGAAAGCAGGGGACCUUCGGGCCUUGCGCUAUCGGAUGAGCCUAGGUCGGAUUAGCUAGUUGGUGAGGUAAUGGCUCACCAAGGCGACGAUCCGUAACUGGUCUGAGAGGAUGAUCAGUCACACUGGAACUGAGACACGGUCCAGACUCCUACGGGAGGCAGCAGUGGGGAAUAUUGGACAAUGGGCGAAAGCCUGAUCCAGCCAUGCCGCGUGUGUGAAGAAGGUCUUCGGAUUGUAAAGCACUUUAAGUUGGAGGAAGGCAGUUACCUAAUACGUAUCUGUUUUGACGUUACGACAGAAUAAGCACCGGCUAACUCUGU